UAACGAAUAUUCCGCAAUGCGCGAAAGCGUGACGGAGCAAUGCCGCGUGCAGGAUGAACCCCCUCGGGGUGUAAACUGCUGUCAGGGAUCAGGAAGAAAGUGACCAAUCCCAAAGGAAGGACCGGCUAACUUCGUGCCAGCAGCCGCGGUAAUACGAAGGGUCCGAGCGUUAAUCAGAAUCACUGGGCUUAAAGCGUACGUAGGCCGACAUGCAGGUAUCUUGUGAAAUCCCUCCGCUCAACGGAGGAACUGCUUGGUAAACCGCAUGUCUCGAGACAGGUAGGGGUUGUCGGAACGAUAGGUGGAGUGGUGAAAUGCGUUGAUAUCUAUCGGAACGCCAACGGAGCAGUCAGGCAACUGGGCCUGUUCUGACGCUGAUGUACGAAAGCGUGGGUAGCGAACGGGAUUAGAUACCCCCGUAGUCC
This 425-nucleotide ribosomal RNA is filed under the name uncultured prokaryote. RNAcentral describes it as "partial 16S ribosomal RNA". It matches the Rfam family "Bacterial small subunit ribosomal RNA", at positions 355 to 796 of the family's 1533-position model. The record is from RNAcentral.